Molecule: long non-coding RNA, 296 nt
Organism: Sinocyclocheilus grahami
Lineage: Eukaryota; Metazoa; Chordata; Actinopteri; Cypriniformes; Cyprinidae
Exons: 3
Source: RefSeq, a predicted model, not a curated record
GUCCACACUCAACCAGGAAGCUGCAGUGUCCUCUCUGGAGUGGUUUGGAAGGUGAAGAGGCAGAAAUGUCAAUUAAAGAGAGGACACGAAAAUACAGGGAAAGACUCAAUGCUGAAUAUGCAAGGAGAGAGGAGGUCCUGAGGGAAAGGAGGAAAAAGUAUAAAGAGAAGAAACGAAGAGGACAACUCAAGGCAUUCAGUGUGCACACCCUUCUUCCUUCAAGACAAGAGAAAAUGAAAGAGAUGUGGAGAGAAGCACAAAAGAAAUACAGAAAAAGAAAAAAAGAAGUGAAUGCC